UACGGGGGGAGCAAGCGUUGUUUGGAUUUACUGGGCGUAAAGGGCGCGUAGGCGGCGCAACAAGUCACUUGUGAAAUCUCCGGGCUUAACCCGGAGCGGCCAAGUGAUACUGUCGUGCUAGAGUGCGGAAGGGGCUACUGGAAUUCUCGGUGUAGCGGUGAAAUGCGUAGAUAUCGAGAGGAACACCUGCGGCGAAGGCGGGUUGCUGGGCUGAUACUGACGCUGAGGCGCGAAAGCCAGGGGAGCGAACGGG
Molecule: ribosomal RNA, 253 nt
Filed under: uncultured bacterium
Lineage: Bacteria
Description: partial 16S ribosomal RNA
Rfam family: Bacterial small subunit ribosomal RNA
Source: RNAcentral